RNAcentral lists this unclassified non-coding RNA (259 nucleotides) under Hevea brasiliensis (rubber tree). The record is from RNAcentral. Lineage: Eukaryota; Viridiplantae; Streptophyta; Magnoliopsida; Malpighiales; Euphorbiaceae.
UGUUUAUAGUUUUGGAAUGUUGUUAAUGGAAAUGGUUGGAAAGAAGAAGAAUUUGAAUGCAGAGGCAGAACAUUCCAGCCAAACCUACUUCCCCAAUUGGGUAUAUAACGAAGUAGUUGAUGGAAAAGUUGCGAUUAGAAAUGGCACAAAGGAUGAAGAGAAAAUAGCAAAGAAAAUGAUUACAGUAGCAUUAUGGUGCAUACAAAUGAAGCCUGGUGAUCGCCCUUCAAUGAAUAAAGUUGUAGAGAUGCUUGAAGGA